CUCGUAGCUUGCCAUGAGAACAGUUAGUGGCAGACGGGUGAGUAAUGCAUAGGAAUCUACCUAGUAGUAUAGGAUAGCCACUAGAAGUGGUGGGUAAUACUGUAUAAUCCCCGCGGGGGAAAGAUUUAUCGCUACAUGAUGAGCCUAUGUUAGAUUAGCUAGUUGGUGGGGUAAUGGCCUACCAAGGCAGUGAUCUAUAGCUGGUCUGAGAGGAUGAUCAGCCACACUGGAACUGAGACACGGUCCAGACUCCUACGGGAGGCAGCAGUGGGGAAUAUUGGACAAUGGGCGCAAGCCUGAUCCAGCUAUGCCGCGUGAGUGAGGAAGGCCUUAGGGUUGUAAAACUCUUUCAGUGGGGAAGAUAAUGACGGUACCCACAGAAGAAGUCCCGGCAAACUCCGUGCCAGCAGCCGCGGUAAUACGGAGGGGGCAGGCGUUGUUCGGAAUUAUUGGGCGUAAAGGGCAUGUAGGUGGUUUGGUUAGUUAAAGGUGAAAUGCCAGGGCUUAACCCAGGAGCUGCUUUUAAUACUGCCAGACUGGAGUCCGGGAGA
Molecule: ribosomal RNA, 551 nt
Filed under: Anaplasma bovis
Lineage: Bacteria; Pseudomonadati; Pseudomonadota; Alphaproteobacteria; Rickettsiales; Anaplasmataceae
Description: bacterial SSU rRNA
Rfam family: Bacterial small subunit ribosomal RNA
Source: RNAcentral